UCCUCUCCCAUUCCUCUCUCCUUCGAAAUGGCGAGUCAUCGGGCACACAUGACGAGGAGGAUGUUACGAGGAGGAGCGAGGAAUUCUACGAGGCGAUGAACGGGCCUUAGUUUUUUUUUUCGGUUUAUGUAUUAUAAAAUCCAAAACUUAUUUAUAUAUAAAAUAUUUUGUUGCA
Molecule: long non-coding RNA, 175 nt
Organism: Raphanus sativus (radish)
Lineage: Eukaryota; Viridiplantae; Streptophyta; Magnoliopsida; Brassicales; Brassicaceae
Exons: 2
Source: RefSeq, a predicted model, not a curated record